Molecule: long non-coding RNA, 115 nt
Organism: Camarhynchus parvulus
Lineage: Eukaryota; Metazoa; Chordata; Aves; Passeriformes; Thraupidae
Exons: 3
Source: RefSeq, a predicted model, not a curated record
GGAGCCGAAGGAGCCGAGGAAGGAGAGCAGCAGCAGCGGCCGCAAGAAGCGGAGCCGGAGCCGCGAGCACAGACACAGCCGCAGCCGGGACCGGGAGCGGGAUCGGCGCCGCCGC